AGUGAACGCUGGCGGUAGGCCUAACACAUGCAAGUCGAACGGCAGCACAGUAAGAGCUUGCUCUUACGGGUGGCGAGUGGCGGAAGGGUGAGGAAUACAUCGGAAUCUACUUUUUCGUGGGGGAUAACGUAGGGAAACUUACGCUAAUACCGCAUACGACCUACGGGUGAAAGCAGGGGAUCUUCGGACCUUGCGCGAUUGAAUGAGCCGAUGUCGGAUUAGCUAGUUGGCGGGGUAAUGGCCCACCAAGGCGGCGAUCCGUAGCUGGUGUGAGAGGAGGAUCAGCCACACUGGAACUGGGACACGGUCCAGAGUCCUGCGGGAGGCAGCAGUGGGGAAUAUUGGACAGUGGGGGGAAACCUGACCCAGCCAUACCGCGUGUGUGAAGAAGGCGUUCGGGUUGUAAAGCCCUUUUGUUGGGAGAGAAAAGCAGCAGGUUAAUACGCAGCUGUUCUGACGGUACCCAAAGAAUAAGCACCGGCUAACUUCGUG
This 492-nucleotide ribosomal RNA is filed under the name uncultured bacterium. RNAcentral describes it as "partial 16S ribosomal RNA". It matches the Rfam family "Bacterial small subunit ribosomal RNA", at positions 29 to 507 of the family's 1533-position model. The record is from RNAcentral.